GAUAAAGACCUAGUUUGGCGAACUCUGCUGAUAGUUUUUCAUACCAGCAACGGGGUGCCUGCUUCAACCCGUAAAUAGACUUCUGCAGCUUGCACGCAAGCGACCGGUCACUGGAUGCAUACCCAGGCGGUUGCUCCAUCCACAACUCCUCCUUCAGCUCACCAUUCAGAAACGCAGUAGACACAUCGAGCUGAUGUACCGUCAUGUUCCGGGCUGCGGCAAUUGCUAAUAAAGCACGCAAUGACGAACCACGAGAGGUAGGGGCAAACAACUCCCCAUAAUCAAUCCCCUCACGUUGCUCGAAACCCUUGGCAACUAAACGCGCCUUAAAACGUUCCACGCUGCCGUCAUCGCUGUACUUAACCUUAUAUACCCAACGACACGGCAACAAACGAGUACCAGGAGGUGGCUUCUUCAGCUCCCAAGUACUAUUAGCCAUCUGGGCGGCGAUCUCCUCGUCCAUCGCACGCCGCCAGUCGUCUGCAUGUGGACUAGCAAUUGCUUCCUCAAACGAAUUAGGCUCAUGAAUACCAGCAGAGAAAGCAGCGUUAACGCGACCAGUGACAGUGCGACCAGGUUCGUUUCGCCACCAUUCGCCAGGGCGUUUACGCUCUCUAACUGGGUACCUAGUUCCCGCCAUUUCCACAUCAGGCUGAUUGAUUCCUUGCCCGUUCGCACUGCUGGAAGGUCCAGCCCCAGCCGGCGCCCCCUCGCCACCCAAAUGCGGCGAUCCCUCGCCGACGGUGCUACCUGGUGUCCCUUCGCCAGCCCUAGGCAGCGAUCCCUCACCAGAUAAACUAGUGCGAAACUCCUCCUCCUCGUCGGCAUCGGACUCAUAAUCGGAGUCCCCGGCAUUACGCCGCCGGCCGACAUUAGACUCGUCAAAACGAACGUUAGAAACUACGGCAAUAAUGCCGUCCUCGUAUAGUACACGAUACUGUCCACCGUUCCCGUAUCCGACAAGUAUUCCACGCCUGCUCACCGGGUCGAACUUGUCGCGCUUGACGUCGGGUACGUGGACGUAGGCAACGCAUCCAAAGACUCGCAGGUGACUGACGUUCGGACGAACAUUAAAGAAAGCUUCGUACGGAGUGACGGUUGACCCAGCAGUUGGCGACACAUUCUUAAGAUAGUUGGCGGUCGCUAACGCCUCCGCCCAUAAUGAUUUAGGCAGUCCAGACUCAACUAGCAUAGCCCUAGUCUUGUCCAAAAGAGUGCGAUUUAAACGUUCUGCAGCUCCGUUCUGCUCAGGGGUGUAGCCUACCGUAGUUCCGUGUAGAAUACCCCUGGAAGCGAAAUAGGCCUUCGUGCGAGUAUUAACGAAUUCCCCGCCACGAUCUGUACGCACCUCCUUAACCUGCCUGCCAGUAGCGCGCUCCAGUUCCGCUAUCAUUACCACCAUCUUCUGGUAGACCUCCUCCUUGGUCGCUGUAAACGCAACAGCUGAAAGACCAGUAUGGUCGUCAAGCAGGGUUGUCACGUAACGCGAACCACUAGGCGAAGGUUCAGGCAUAGGCCCACACACAUCCAUGUGAAUGAGCGCGAGAGGCUGCGCUGCCUUAUGCCCAGAUAACGGAAAAGGACCACGUGUAUGUUUAGCAAGGACGCAAGUCUCACACACACACGUGCUGGCUGAUUGUAUGCUGUGUCGGUCAACAUCAAAUCCAGCUACCAUAUUAUGACGCAGUAACGUCUCAAGGUUGCUGUAUCCCAAGUGGCCAUACCUUCGGUGCCAAAGUGCUGCACGUUCAGCUCCGAUACCCACGGCAGCACACACUGCAUCACCACCAGAAGGUAUCCUGUUGUCUUCACGCUGCGUCCUCUUCAGAGCUCCCGUACCUCCACUGCUGUAGCAGACGGGAUACAAGUCCCCAUCUCGCUUUCCAGUCAGCACCAACUGGUUCUGUACGUAUACUUUCGCCUGUCCGCCGCCGAAGACCACACUGCCUCCACGAUCAUCAAUGAUGCGGACCGAUAUGAUUUUGGCGGUGGCCUCCUCGUCGACGUAGACCUUCUUGAAAGUGAUGGCCUGUUUAUCGUUGACGUUAGACCGAAUCAUAAGCGUGCCAACUUCAGUCGGCCGAAGAGACUGUCCCUUGAUGCCCAUGAUGUUGAAGCGCUCCCAUGGCUCCAAUAACCGCACGUUGGAAAGUUCUGAGCGGUCAUAAGUUAUGUGGUGAGUGGCGGCUGAGUCCAGAAACCAUUCCGUCGGACGAUUGCUGUUGUAUGCCACGAAUGCUACCUGCCGCGGAACUCCUGGCCUCCUAGCUGAUCCACCUGAUCCUGGCUUGCUGCCGCUAGCUCCGCUGCCACUACCUCCGUUACCACUGUUGCUGUAGCCACCCUUGUAGCCAGAAUUUGACGACUGCUUCAGCGCCUUAAGCUGCCUGCAGUCCUUAACCACGUGCCCAGGUUUAUUACAGUAGUAGCAGAUGACUUGCUUCCGACUAUGUCCCGAGCUGUUGUUAGCCGGCCCCCGGCUACCAUAACCAGAAGUAGAAGCGCCGAACGUCGAACCGCCGACAGACGCGAAGGCUGCCGACUCGGUAGGCUUGCCCGACCCACCGUUAGCCGUCUCGAUAGAGAGAAGCUUUGCUGUGACGCUCGCCAUGUCCAAAUCGCCGUCGCGCAUAAGUAAUGUAGUCGUCACCACGCUGUACCGACUGGGUAGACCAACUAGCACGGUGUACGCCAGCUCGGAGUCGUUAACUACGUGGCCGACUCCCAAUAAAUCUGUUUGCAGCUGCCUUGCACGCGCAAAGUACAUCGGAAGAGGUUCGCCGUCGACCAUCUUAAAACGGCUGAAUUCUUGACGUAGAGACACCUUGCGGGCGUUGUUGUUGGCAGCAAACAUAGAUCCCAAGGCGUCCCAGGCCUUCUUCGCGUUGGCAGCACCGGUAACCAUAGGCAAAUGAUGAUCCUUGACGUUCUUGAUGAGCAGAUUGAUGACCUUCCGUGACUGUCGAAUUUGCUCCUCGUUGCACGGCUCGGCGAGCAGGGAUUGCUCAAGCCCAAGCUCCAUGCACAACGCGCUGAACCGAAUUUGCCAGGUAGAGUAAUUGUUGAGAUCCAGCGACUCAUCAAGCUUGUCCAUAACCAUUGUUGAUGAGGGAUAGAAAUAACAAUUGGCCGAUAACUGUCGGCGCUAACCGGGGCUCAUAACCUAUUAAGACCAGCAAAGCGCCGGACCCCCGUUGGGUCCUAUUACUGUGGCUACCAUUCACUGGUAUAUGAGUGUCGGUCAUUUCCAAUACCCCCCCGUGAGCGAAACUCUCGCGCUCCGGGUCUUCCCGUGCCUCAUCCCGGACUCCCAUUCUCUGGACAACAGCCAGUGGGUAUCGAUCCGGCGACCUCUCGGCAGCGCAAUGCGCCAUUCGGGGCUCAUAACCUAUUGGAGAAUUGGCGACGGUGACAGCUAACGCUUAUUGUUAUUCCGGAAGGAUUGCCGGUGGCGAAGAUAUUUAGCACGAUAAAAUGUUACAAGUAAUGUAAAGAGUAUUGUUAGCGUUCGGCAGGACUUGAGGAGAUUCCUGGUAGGAAUACCGAUCGUUGUGAGAUAAACUAAUAGGCGCAGUCACCGCCCUAAAUACCGGCGCUAGCGGAAAACUCGUACAUUCCGCGAUCUAACUGCACGUACAUUCCGCGAUCUCACUGCGCCGUCCAGACGGUGCCCUAAUGUCUAUCACUUAGCUACCGGAUAUGCAUCGGUAGCCCCAUAAGGUUCUGGGAUAAGUCUUCCCCAUUAGUCAGACGCAGACCCGGGGUCAAAUCCCCUCGUCGACAACCACACGAGUUGGGAGAGGACCGAUUCCUCAACAAUGACCGCUCAGAACUUUUCAACGUGCGGUUGUUGGAGCCGUGGGAGCGCUUCAACAUCAUGGGCAUCAAGGGACAAUCUCUUCGACCGACUGAAGUUGGCACGCUCACGAUUCGGUCUAACGUCAACGAUAAACAGGCCAUCACUUUCAAGAAGGUCUACGUCGACGAGGAGGCCACCGCCAAAAUCAUAUCGGUACGCAUCAUUGAUGAUCGUGGAGGCAGUGUGGUCUUCGGCGGCGGACAGGCGAAAGUAUACGUACAGAACCAGUUGGUGCUGACUGGAAAGCGGGAUGGGGACUUGUAUCCCGUCUGCUACAGCAGUGGAGGUACGGGAGCUCUGAAGAGGACGCAGCGUGAUGACAACAGGAUACCUUCUGGUGGUGAUGCAGUGUGUGCUGCCGUGGGUAUCGGAGCUGAACGUGCAGCACUUUGGCACCGAAGGUAUGGCCACUUGGGAUACAGCAACCUUGAGACGUUGCUGCGUCAUAAUAUGGUAGCUGGAUUUGAUGUUGACCGACACAGCAUACAAUCAGCCAGCACGUGUGUGUGUGAGACUUGCGUCCUUGCUAAACAUACACGUGGUCCUUUUCCGUUAUCUGGGCAUAAGGCAGCGCAGCCUCUUGCGCUCAUUCACAUGGAUGUGUGUGGGCCUAUGCCUGAACCUUCACCUAGUGGUUCGCGUUACGUGACAACUCUGCUUGACGAUCAUACUGGUCUUUCAGCUGUUGCGUUUACAGCGACCAAGGAGGAGGUCUACCAGAAGAUGGUGGUAAUGAUAGCGGAACUGGAGCGCGCUACUGGCAGGCAGGUUAAGGAGGUGCGUACAGAUCGUGGCGGGGAAUUCGUUAAUACUCGCACGAAGGCCUAUUUCGCUUCCAGGGGUAUUCUACACGGAACUACGGUAGGCUACACCCCUGCGCAGAACGGAGCUGCAGAACGUUUAAAUUGCACACUUUUGGACAAGACUAGGGCUAUGCUCGUUGAGUCUGGACUGCCUAAAUCAUUAUGGACGGAGGCGUUAGCGACAGCCAACUAUCUUAGGAAUGUGUCGCCAACUGCUGGUUCAACCGUCACUCCGUACGAAGCUUUCUUUAAUGUUCGUCCGAACGUCAGUCACCUGCGAGUCUUUGGAUGCGUUGCCUACGUCCACGUACCCGACGUCAAGCGCGACAAGUUCGACCCGGUGAGCAGGCGUGGAAUACUUGUCGGAUACGGGAACGGUGGACAGUAUCGUGUACUAUACGAGGACAGCAUUAUUGCCGUAGUUUCUAACGUUCGUUUUGACGAGUUUAAUGUCGGCCGGCGGCGUAAUGCCGGGGACUCCGACUAUGAGUCCGAUGCCGACGAGGAGGAGGAGUUUCGCACUAGUUUAUCUGGUGAGGGAUCGCUGCCUAGGGCUGGCGAAGGGACACCAGGUAGCACCGUCGGCGAGGGAUCGCCGCAUUUGGGUGGCGAGGGGGCGCCGGCUGGGGCUGGACCUUCCAGCAGUGCGAACGGGCAAGGAAUCAAUCAGCCUGAUGUGGGUGGAAAUGGCGGGAACUAGGUACCCAGUUAGAGAGCGUAAACGCCCUGGCGAAUGGUGGCGAAACGAACCUGGUCGCACUGUCACUGGUCGCGUUAACGCUGCUUUCUCUGCUGGUAUUCCUGAGCCUAAUUCGUUUGAGGAAGCAAUUGCAAGUCCACAUGCAGACGACUGGCGGCGUGCGAUGGACGAGGAGAUCACCGCCCAGAUGGCUAAUAGUACUUGGGAGCUAAAGAAGCCACCUCCUGGUACUCGUUUGUUGCCGUGUCGUUAUGUAUAUAAGGUUAAGUACAGCGAUGACGGCAGCGUGGAGCGUUUUAAGGCGCGUUUAGUUGCCAAGGGUUUCGAGCAACGUGAGGGGAUUGAUUAUGGGGAGUUGUUUGCCCCUACCUCUCGUGGUUCGUCAUUGCGUGUUUUAUUAGCAGUUGCCGCAGCGCGGAACAUGACGGUACAUCAGCUCGAUGUGUCUACUGCGUUUCUGAAUGGUGAGCUGAAGGAGGAGUUGUGGAUGGAGCAACCGCCUGGGUAUGCAUCCAGUGACCGGUCGCUUGCGUGCAAGCUGCAGAAGUCUAUUUACGGUUUAAAGCAGGCACCCCGUUGUUGGUAUGAGAAACUAUCAGCAGAGUUCGCCAAGUUGGGUCUUUAUCCUUCGAAGUCUGAUCCGGCGAUGUUCGUUAAGACUGACGAGCGUGGGGUUGUUAUUGCUUUGGUGCACGUAGAUGACACAAUUGUUGCGUCGGAAGACCCAGAAAUGGUCCGGGCAAUUAAAGCUGCAAUUGCGAAGGUCUUCAAGGUGCGCGACCUUGGAGAAGCGAAGGUGUUUUUGGGCAUGGAAAUUAGGAGGGAGAAGUCGGGUGAGAUAGUGUUGUCGCAGCAUAGGUAUAUUGCGCAGCUGUUGGAGCGUCAUAGGAUGAUUGACGCCAAGCCGAGGUCUACCCCUUUGCCUCCGGGCUUUAGGUACACUCCUAAGGGGGACGGAGAGGAGCUGCUGGGCAAUCCCACCGAGUAUAGGGCUUUGGUGGGAGAAUUGAACUAUCUGGCGACGAACACGCGGCCUGACAUUUCAUAUGCAUUGAGCGUUUUGUCCCGGCAUAUGGCCGCACCCACGAAGUGUGCCAUGAACCUGGCAACUGGCGUUCUGCGUUACCUGGCGGGUACUCGCGAACUAGGAUUGCGUUUUGGGGGUGUUGGCGACGAUGCUAUGUCCGGGUACAGUGAUUCUGACUGGGCAGGAGACCCAGUUACGCGGCGUUCUACGUCCGGUUACGUAUUCACUCUUAAUGGGGCUGCGAUUAGCUGGAGCAGCCAACUACAACGUACUGUGGCGGCUUCGUCGGUGGAGGCUGAGUACCAAGCUACAGCGGCGGCUGUUCGUGAGGCUUUGUGGCUUCGCAAGCUGAUGGUUGAUUUGAGCUUGCCUGAGAGCGCGGUGAAAAUCCAGAUAGACUCCCAGGGGGCGCUUAGCUUGGGAAGCAACCCGAUUACGUCUGCUCGGUCGAAGCACAUCGACGUGCAGCAUCACAUAGUGCGUGAGAGGGUGAAUAGCUGUGAGGUGCAGUUAGAAUACUGCCCUACGGAGUGGAUGGUUGCGGAUGUACUAACGAAGGCUCUGGGCGAGGUGAAGUUCAAACGUUGCCGAGAUGCUAUGGGCCUUGUGUGAAGUGUGCAGAUGAACUUGGUACUCGUUGGGAUACGGCCCGAGGGGGCGUGUUGAGGAAACGGUCCUCUCCCAACUCGUGUGGUUGUCGACCAGGGGAUUUGACCCCGGGUCUGCGCCUGACUAAUGGGGAAGACUUACCCCAGAACCUUAUGGGGCUACCGAUGCAUAUCCGGUAGCUAAGUGAUAGACAUUAGGGCACCGUCUGGACGGCGCAGUGAGAUCGCGGAAUGUACGUGCAGUUAGAUCGCGGAAUGUACGAGUUUUCCGCUAGCGCCGGUAUUUAGGGCGGUGACUGCGCCUAUUAGUUUAUCUCAUAACGAUCGGUAUUCCUACCAGGAAUCUCCUCAAGUCCUGCCGAACGCUAACAAUACUCUUUACAUUACUUGUAACAGUUUAUCGUGCUAAAUAUCUUCGCCACCGGCAAUCCUUCCGGAAUAACAAUUAGCGUUAGCUGUCACCGUCGCCAAUUCUUCAAUAGCGGUGAUUUGCUUCUAUUGCAGCAAGCCUGGGCCCGGUGGGUCUAGCAAGGGAUCAGUUUUCCCGAAGCAGGUUGCGUUUGUAGCUUACAACAGUAAGCGUCUGAGGGAUCCUUGUUGAUGUUGUUACAGGGUGGCUAAGCUUCACCAGUGGCCUCCUACCCGAGGCAAUUCCCUGCUCUCCCCUGCUAGAGGGGCACCCUAAGCCAUUCACCCCAUCCGACUUCAGAGUGUACUCUUUGAGUUUGGCAACUCACCACCAGCAUCCAACCAAAUCUAGCGGAUCAACGGCGCGUCAACUUAGUUCCUGGUCAGCUCGCGAGUUGAUUUUAUCACGUCCUACACCGUCCACAAGAUGGGGGGCCACCUCCCAUUUCAUCUCCUCUCAAACACCCCGAGAGGUCGGCAGGCGGAUUUGAACCCGGACGCGCCGUGACGCGACGGGAGCAGAAGCCAGGCCUUAGCUUGUUGAAGGGCGGUCCUAUCCCAACGUAGAUAGGUGGUAGUUAGGCGAUGAAUCCGCUGUGAUAGGCGAUGAAUCCGCUGUGAUAGGCGAUGCCUCGGACGUGCGUCGACCUUGCCUCGGCCGUGCCUCGACCUUGCCUCGGGUCUCUCGGCCGCGUGUCUCGGACGUGUCCUCAGGUCCAGGGAUGGUGGACGACUGUACGAUACUUUCGUUGGUAUCGGUACAUAAGACCAAAAUGGUGCAUGUCUUUCUAUCUCAUCUUCGGAUGGAUCGGCAUUCCUUCAUAGGAAUCUCCUAAAGUCUUCUUGCCGUUCACCAUUAACCCACAGACUGUAACCUUUAUAUCGCGAGCAGUCUCCUUGCCUUCACAUUCUUAACAACUUCUAGUAUCGCUGUCGCUUGCAAAAACGAGGCACGGUUCGGCGAGCAAACACUGCUCAAGCCAUGCACAUCACACUAAAACCUGAUUUUCCACGUGGAGUAGUUGUGGAGGUCCAGCGGCUCAUCAAGCUUAUCCUUGACCAUUGUCGAUAAGGGAUAGAAAACAAUCGAACGAUAGCUGUCGGCGCUAUAACCUAUUGGAGAAUUGGCGACGGUGGCAUCUAGCGACGACUGCUAUUUCGGAAAGGAAUGCCGGCGGCGAAGAUAUUGAACACGAAAAACUGUUGAAGGACGGGCCUAUCCAAACAUAGAUAAGUGGUAGUUAGGCGAUGAAUCCGCCGUGAUAGGCGAUGCCUCGGCCGUGCCUCGACCUUGCCUCGACCAUGACUCGACCUUGCCUCGGGUCUCUCAGCCGCGUAUCUGGGACGUGUCCUCAGGUCCAGGGAUGGUGGACAUCUUAACGAUACUUCCAUUGGUACUGGUAUAUAAGACACGAGUUGUGCAAGUCUUAGUAUCUCAUCUUUGUAUGGAUCGGUAUUCCUUAGUAGGAAUCUCCUAAAGUCUUCCUGCCGUUCACCACUCACCUACCGAUUGUAAUACUUACAUCGCAACCAGUCUCCUUGCCUCCUUCAUAUUCUUAACAGGUUAUGAGCCCCGGCUCACGCUAGUAGCUUACAUAGCUAGCGCGAAGAAGGCAUAGGACGCCUACAAGCAAUUACAGUCGGACUUGUUUGGGAGUAGGACACGUUAUCAGCGAUUCUGAGCGGGCACACACCUUGCUUGUUGGUUUGCCCAGCCGCUUCAGCAUGGUAACGACAUCCCUACUGGUGCGUGACGGCGAUUCGGACAUGGCUAUCGUCACCUCGAAGUUCUUGACUAUCGAGAUGGCAAGCGGUGGCUCUGGUAAGCCUACCGAGUCGGCAGCUUUUGCUUCUGUCGGCAGUUUUUCGUUUGGCGCCUCUGGUUCUGGUCUUGGGAAUCGUGGCGCAGCCAGCAGCAGUUCUGGCGUUCCUCUCCAAGAGGUGAUUUGCUUCUAUUGCAGCAAGCCUGGGCCCGGUGGGUCUAGCAAGGGAUCAGUUUUCCUGGAGCAGGUUGCGUUUGUAGCUUACAACAGUAAGCAUCUGAGGGAUCCUGGCCGAAUAUGGGAAUGGAGGACAGUAUCGUGUUGUGUACGUCCCCAAUGUCCGCCUUGAUGAGUUUAAUGUCGGCCGGCGGCACAAUGCCCGGGAUUCCGAUGAUGGGUCCGAUACUGACGAGGGUUGCACACUAGUUUGCCUGGUGAGGGGUCGCUGCCUAGGGCUGGCGAAUGGACAUCAGGCAAUACCGUCAGCACGGGAUCGCCGCAUUUGGGUGACGAGGGGGCGCUGGCUGGGGCUGGACCUCCCAGAAGUGUGAAUGUGCAAGGCAAUACACACCCUGAUGUGGAAAUGCUGGGGGCUCGGUGUUCAGUUAGGGAAUACAAACGUCCUGGCGAGUGGUGAUGAAAUGAAUGCGGUCGAUGUGCUACAGGCCGAGUCAUUGCUGCAGUAUCUGCUGGGAUUCAGAGCCUAACCUUUAUGCCGAAGCCAUCCCAGGCCCACAUGCAGACGACUGGCGGCAGUGAGUGUCGCGAAAUUUCUGUAUCCGGUAGACCCCGCUGGAUAGCAUGGAUUGCAGCAGACGAUCAUUUGCUGCAACUACAAACGGAUGGGCCGUAUAGCUCGGAGUUGAAGAGAGAGCCGCAGCCUAACGUGCAGGGAAGGAGUGGAGGUGGUCUUGGCGCCCGCACCCUCACGUGGGAGGUGGGGUAGCAUGCCUCAACAGACAGGCGGUGGCGGCGGUGCAGUGAUGCCGUGUAUUUUGUUUGCUGCAAGAUAAGAACCACUAUCAAUUGUCUGACUCCGAAGCGGCUAGUAUUGGUGUACCUGAGUCAGGGCCUCUACCAAGCUCUGGUAGACUUAGGAACCACAGUCGGCUAGGCACCACUGUCACCUGUGGAUGGUAAAGGAAUGCCGGAUGAAGCCGGAACAUCCAGUGGUGCACGCCAGCGCAGGAGUACAGAAGAAGAGGGCAGGGAACAUGAGGAGAUAUUGUGGCCUUCGGAGUGGUGGUGUGGUGAUGCAGGAAGGAGGAUAGGAGGUCGCAUUAACCUGGCUGUCAUUGAUCCGAACCCUGCUGAACUUUUGCUGAGUAAAUACUUUCACUGAAGCCAUUUCAGGUGCAAAUGCAAAUGAGUGGCGCAGAGUGAUGGUCGAGGAGAUUGCUGCAUUAGCAGCUAACGGCACUUGUGAGCUGUGUGCACAGCCUCUUGAUGUGCUAAUGCACCGGUGGUUGUACAAUUUGAAAAGAGUGGAAGGUGACACGGUAAAGCGCUUUUUUGCAUGGCUAGUUGCAAAGAUGUACGAGAAGUACGAGAACUUGGAGAAGCGCAGGUGUUUUGGGGCAUGGAAAUACUGAGGAUGAAGCCGGGUGAAUUGGUGUUGUCGCAAUAAUGAGCAGCUAUUGGAGCGUCACCAGACGGUGGACGCCAAGCAACGGUCUACCCCUUUGCCUCCGGGUUUUGGGUGCACACCUACGGGGGAUAGAGAUGAGCUGCUGGAUCCCAUGGCGCAAAGGGCUUUGGUGGGAGAGUUGGACUACCUAGCGACUAACACUCGGCCUGACAUCCCUUAUGCAUGGAGUGUUUUGUCCCGGCAUAUGGCCACACCUACGAAGACUGCCAUGAACUUGGCAACCGGCGUUCUGCGUUACCUGGCGGGUACUCGCGAACUAGGAUUGCGUUUUGGAGGUGUUGGCGGUGUUGCAAUGUCCGGGUACAGCGAUUCGGACUGGGCAGGAGACCCAGUUACGCGGCGUUCUACGUCGGAUUACGUAUUCACUCUUAAUGGGGCUGCGAUUAGCUGGAGCAGCCAACUUCAACGUACUGUGGCGGCUUCGUCGGUGGAGGCCGAGUACCAAGCUACAGCGGCGGCUGUUCGUGAAGCUUUGUGGCUUCGCAAGCUGAUGGUCGAUUUGGGCUUGCCUGAGAGCGCGGUGAAAAUCCAGAUAGACUCCCAGGGUGCGCUUAGCUUGGGAAAUCAUCCGAUUACGUCUGCUCGGUCGAAACACAUCGACGUGCAGCACCAUAUAGUGUGUGAGGGUGAAUAGCGGGGAGGUGCAGUUGGAGUACUGCCCUACAGAGUGGAUGGUAGCGGAUGCGCUCACGAAGGCACUGGGAGAAGUGAAGUUCAAACGGUGCAGAGAAGCUAUGGGCGUUGUGUGAAGUGCCCGUUGGCGGAGCAUAUGUGCUACUGCGAGAUGGGAUAUGUCCCAAGGGGGCGUGUUGAAGGGCGGUCCUAUCCCAACGUAGGUCUGGUCUGGGUUGACACUACUGCGAUUCGCGGUUUAAGGUCCUGGGUUCGAUUCCUGGGGAGACCCCCGAAUUAGUCGGGAGCGCGAGAUUAUGGCUAGCUGCUGAGAUGUGGAGUUGAGGUCGCAGUUGAUGGACCAGAUUCGCACGCUAGAUUGGUGGCGAUUGCCGAACCCUCCGUCUCUUCGGUUGUUUGGGUGAAUGGAUGAGGAGGGGUCCUAGACGGCUGGACCCGCCGCCUUGGACUUACAGUUCGUAUGGCGAAGUAUAGUGUGGUAGUGGUGGACGGUGCUAUAAGAUGAUAAAUCGUAGAACUGACAAUGUGAUAAAGCGGCCCAGAAGCCUCCCACUCUGUAACAUUACAUUACAACGUAGAUAGGUGGUAGUUAGGCGAUGAAUCCGCGAUGCCUCGGACGUGUGUUGACCUUGCCUCGGCCGUGCCUCGAGCUUGCCUCGGGUCUCUCGGCCGUGUAUCUCGGACGUGUCCUCAGGUCCAGGGAUGGUGGACGACAGUACGAUACUUCCAUUGGUAUCGGUACAUAAGACCAGAGUGGUGCAUGUCUUUCUAUCUCAUCUUCGGAUGGAUCGGUAUUUCUUCAUAGGAAUCUCCUAAAGUCUUCUUGCCGUUCACCACUAACCCACAGACUGUAACCCUUAUAUCGCGACCAGUCUCCUUGCCUUCACAUUCUUAACAACUUCUAGUAUCGCUGUCGCUUGCAAAAACGAGGCGUUCACAUUUCGACACAUUUGGGCGCAUCCCAAAAUCAUCACAGAACAUGUCCACAAUGUUGAGCAACUCCCCCAUGCGUCCCGGUGUUGUUGCCAGAAGGCUAACGUCGUCGACAUGGAAGAGGAUGGACACUCGCUCAUUUCCAACCUCCGGUACAUCCUCUGCCCGUGCCCCGGUAUUAAUACCGUCGUGCAUAUCGAUUGAUGAGGACUCGGUCCUCUCCCAACUCACAUGGUUGUAGACCAGGGGAUUUGACGUCGGGUCUGUGACUAACUACUGGGGAAGACUUAGCCCAGAACUUUAUGGGGCUACCGAUGCAUGUCAGGUAGCUAAGUGAUAGACAUUUGGGCACCGUCAGGACGGCGCAGUGAGAUCGCGGAAUGUACGUGCAGUUAGAUCGCGGAAUGUACGAGUUUUCCGCUAGCGCCAGUAUUUAGGGCGGUGACUGCGCUUAUUUGUUUAUCUCACAACGAUCGGUAUUCCUCAAAGGAAUCUCCUCAAGUCCUGCCGAACGCUAAUAAUACUCUUUACAUAACUUGUAACAUUUUAUCGUGCUAAAUAUCUUCGCCGCCGGCAUUCCUUUCCGAAAUAACAGUCGCCGCCAGCUGCCACCGUCGCCAAUCCUCCAAUAGGUUAUGAGCCCCGAGUAGCGCCGACAGCUAUCAUCCGAUUGUUAUUUCUAUCCCUUAUCGACAAUGGUCAAGGAUAAGCUUGAUGAGCCGCUGGACCUCCACAACUACUCCACGUGGCAAAUCCGGUUUAGUGCGAUGUGCAUGGAGCUUGGGCUUGAGCAGUCUUUGCUCGCCGAACCGUGCAACGAGGAGCAAAUUCGUCAAUCGCGGAAAGUCAUCAACCUGCUUAUCAAGAACGUCAAGGAUCACCAUUUGCCGAUGGUCACCGGUGCCGCAAAUGCGAAGAAGGCUUGGGAUGCCUUGAACUCGAUGUUCACAACGCCUGCAAGGUGGCUCUACGCCAAGAAUUAAGCCGCUUCAAGAUGGUCGAUGGAGAGCCACUUCCGAAGUAUUUCGCGCGUGCGAGGCAGCUGCAAACGGACUUGUUGGGUGUCGGCCACGUAAUUAACGACUCCGAGCUGGUGUAUACCGUCCUUGUUGGUCUACCCAAUCGGUACAGCGUGAUGCGUGACGGUGAUUUGGACAUGGUGAACGUCACAUCGAAGCUUUUAGCUAUCGAGACGGCAAACGGUGGGUCAGGCAAAUCUACCGAGUUGGCAGCGUUUGCAUCUGUCGGCGGUUCAAUGUUCGGUGCUUCUAAUUCUGGUUAUGGUAGCCGGGGGCCGGCUAACAACAGCUCGGGACACAGUCGAAAGCAGAUCGUUUGCUACUACUGUAAUAAGCCUGGGCAUGUGGUAAAGGACUGCAGGCAGCUUAAAGCGCUCAAGCAGUCGUCAAUUUCUGGAUAUAAGGGUGGCUACAACAACAGUGGCAGCAGAGCUAGUGGCAGCAAGCCAGGAUCCGGUGGAUCAGCUAGGGGGCCAGGUGUUCCGCGGCAGGUAGCGUUCGUAGCAUACAACAACGAGCAUCCGACGGAAUGGUUUCUGGACUCCGCAUCUACUCACCACGUAACUUACACCCGAUCCGAACUAUUCAAUGUACGUGUGUUGGAGCCUUGGGAACGCUUCAGCAUUGUGGGCAUUAAGGGUCAGUCACUGUGUCCAACGGAGGUUGGAUCACUUACCAUUCGAUCUAAUGUCAACGACAAUCAAGCCAUCACAUUCAAAAGGGUUUACGUUGACGAGGAGGCGAUGGUAAAGAUUUUGUCCGUCCGUAUCACCGACGAUCGCGGAGGUAGUGACAUCUUCGGUGACGGUCAAGUAAAGGUAUACCUGCAAAAUCAUUUAGUGUUGACCAGUGAAUGGGACGGCGAUCUCUACCCCAUUUCCUAUCGAGGUGGAAGUAUAGGCACCAUCAGGAGGGAGCAGAAUACGAGCUACUGUGACAACGGACAUGGUACAACAUGCACCGCCAUGGAUUCCAAGACGGAGCGUGCAACACUUUGGCAUCGGUGUUACGGACAUCUGGGCUACAGCAACCUCGAGGCGUUGCUUCGCCACAAUAUGGUAAUGGGAUUUGACGUCGACCAGCACAGCUUUCAGAAAGCCAGCAUGUGUGUUUGUGAGACCUGUGUUUAUGCAAAACAGACACGAGGUCCUUUUCCGUUAACAGGGCACAAGGCAGCUCAGCCACUAGCACUAGUUCACAUGGAUGAGUGUGGACCUAUGCCUGAACCUUCGCCUAGUGGUUCGCGUUAUGUGACAACUCUGCUUGACGAUCAUACUGGUCUUUCAGCUGUUGCAUUUACAGCGACCAAGGAGGAGGUCUAUCAGAAGAUGGUGGUAAUGAAAGCGGAACUGGAGCGCGCUUCUGGCAGGCAGGUCAAGGAGGUGCAUACGGAUCGUGGCAGGGAGUUCAUUAAUACUCGCACGAAGGGCUAUUUCGUGUCCAGGGGUGUUACUACACAGAACUACUGUAGGCUACACCCCUGAGCAGAACGGAGCAGCAGAACGUUUGAAUCGCACUCUCCUAGACAAAACUAGGGCUAUGCUUGUCGAGUCUGGUCUACCUAAGUCAUUAUGGGCGGAAGUGUUGGCGACAGCCAAUUACCUCAGGAAUGUGUGUUGGAAAUGAUCGACACUCAUAUACCAGUGAAUGGUAGCCACAGGCAUACGACCCAACGGGGUCCAGCGCUUUGCUGGUCUUAACAAUGUGUCGCCAACUGCUGUGUCAACUGUCAUGCCAUAUGAAGCUUUCUUCAACGUCCGUCCUAACGUCAGUCACCUUCGAGUUUUUGGGUGCGUCGCCUACAUCCACAUACCUGACGUCAAACGCGACAAGUUCGAUCCGGUGAGCAGGCGUGGAAUACUUGUCGGUUACGGGAACGGAGGACAGUACCGUGUGCUGUACAAGGAUGGCAUUAUUGCCAUCGUUUCUAACGUUUGCUUUGAUGAGUCUAAUGUCGGCCGGCGGUGUAAUGCCGGGGACUCCGAUUAUGAGUCUGAUGCCGACGAGGAGGAGGAUUUUCGCACUAGUUUGCCUGGUGAGGGAUCGCUGCCUAGGGCUGGUGAAGGGAUACCAGGCAGCACUGUCAGCGAGGGAUCACCGCACUUGGGUGGCGAGGGGGCGCCGGCUGGGGCUGGACCUUCCAUAAGUGUGAACGGGCAAGGAAUUAAUCAGCCUGAUGUGGAAAUGGCGGGAACUAGGUAUCCAGUUAGAGAACGUAAACACCCUGGCGAAUGGUGGCGAAAUGAACCUGGUGGCACUGUCACUGGUCACGUUAACGCUGCUUUCUCUGCUGGUAUUCCUGAACUUAAUUCGUUUGCGGAGGCCAUUUCAGAUCCACAUGCAGACAACUGGUGGCCUCCUCCUCGUCAGCAUCGGACUCAUAAUCGGAGUCCCCGGCAUUAUGCCGCCGGCCGACGUUAGACUCAUCAAAGCGAACGUUAGAAACUACGGCAAUAAUGCCGUCCUUGUACAGCACACGGUACUGUCCUCCGUUCCUGUAACUGACAAGUAUUCCACGCCUGCUCACCGGAUCGAACUUGUCGCGUUUGACGUCAGGUACGUGGACAUAGGCGAUGCACCCAAAAACUCAAAGGUGACUGACGUUAGGACGGACGUUGAAGAAAGCUUCAUAUGGCGUGACAGUUAACCCAGCAGUUGGUGACACAUUCCUGAGGUCUGGUCUGGGUUGACACUACUGCAAUUAGCGGUUUAAGGUCCUGGGUUCGAUUCCUGGGGAGACCCCCGAAUUAGUCGGGAGCGCGAGAUUAUGGCUAGCUGCUGAGAUGUGGAGUUGAGGUCACAGUUGAUGGACCAGAUUCGCACGCUGGAUUGGUGGCGAUUGCCGAACCCUCCGUCUCUUCGGGUGUUCGGGUGAAUGGAUGAGGAGGGGUCCCCGAAGGCUGGAUCCGCCGCCUUGGACUUCCAGUUCGUAUGGCGAAGUACAGUGUGGUAGUGGUGGAUGGUGCUAUAAGGUGAUAAAUGAUCUAGAACUGACAAUGUGAUAAAGCGGCCCAGAAGCUUCCCACUCUGUAACAUUACAUUACAUUACAUUACAUUACAUU
Molecule: long non-coding RNA, 16463 nt
Filed under: Volvox carteri
Lineage: Eukaryota; Viridiplantae; Chlorophyta; Chlorophyceae; Chlamydomonadales; Volvocaceae
Description: long non-coding RNA (VCAR_LNC001986)
Source: RNAcentral